Molecule: small nuclear RNA, 97 nt
Organism: Psammomys obesus (fat sand rat)
Lineage: Eukaryota; Metazoa; Chordata; Mammalia; Rodentia; Muridae
Product: U5 spliceosomal RNA
Exons: 1
Source: RefSeq, a predicted model, not a curated record
AUUUCUGGUUUCUCUUCAGAUCAUAUAAAUCUUUCACCUUUUACUAAAGAUUUCCAUGAAAAAUUCAAUAAAGACUAUUAUCCAAGUUUUCCUCCUG